GGGUGUAGCCCAGUGGUAGAGCGCGUGCUUAGCAUGCACGAGGUCCUGGGUCCAAUCCCCAGUAUAGCCG
RNAcentral lists this transfer RNA (70 nucleotides) under Camelus bactrianus (Bactrian camel). It matches the Rfam family "tRNA". Rfam says of the family: Transfer RNA (tRNA) molecules are approximately 80 nucleotides in length. Their secondary structure includes four short double-helical elements and three loops (D, anti-codon, and T loops). Further hydrogen bonds mediate the characteristic L-shaped molecular structure. tRNAs have two regions of fundamental functional importance: the anti-codon, which is responsible for specific mRNA codon recognition, and the 3' end, to which the tRNAs corresponding amino acid is attached (by aminoacyl-tRNA synthetases). tRNAs cope with the degeneracy of the genetic code in two manners: having more than one tRNA (with a specific anti-codon) for a particular amino acid; and 'wobble' base-pairing, i.e. permitting non-standard base-pairing at the 3rd anti-codon position. RNAcentral also lists the same sequence under 2 other names. Lineage: Eukaryota; Metazoa; Chordata; Mammalia; Artiodactyla; Camelidae. The record is from Rfam by way of RNAcentral.